GGAUUGAACGCUGGCGGCAGGCCUAACACAUGCAAGUCGAGCGGUAGAGAGGUGCUUGCAUCUCUUGAGAGCGGCGGACGGGUGAGUAAUGCCUAGGAAUCUGCCUAGUGGUGGGGGAUAACGUUCGGAAACGGACGCUAAUACCGCAUACGUCCUACGGGAGAAAGCGGGGGACCUUCGGGCCUCGCGCCAUUAGAUGAGCCUAGGUCGGAUUAGCUAGUUGGUGAGGUAAUGGCUCACCAAGGCGACGAUCCGUAACUGGUCUGAGAGGAUGAUCAGUCACACUGGAACUGAGACACGGUCCAGACUCUACGGAGCAGCAGUGGGAAUAUUGGACAAUGGGCGAAAGCCUAGAUCCAAGCCAUGCCGCGUGUGUGAAGAAGGUCUUCGGAUUGUAAAAGCAACUUUAAGUUAGGAGGAAAGGUUGUAAACCUAAUUACGUGCAAACUUUGAACGUUACCGACAAGAAUAAAGCAACCGGCUAACUUCGUGCCAG
Molecule: ribosomal RNA, 496 nt
Filed under: uncultured soil bacterium
Lineage: Bacteria
Description: bacterial SSU rRNA
Rfam family: Bacterial small subunit ribosomal RNA
Source: RNAcentral